This 264-nucleotide ribosomal RNA is filed under the name uncultured archaeon. Its description in RNAcentral is "partial 16S ribosomal RNA". It matches the Rfam family "Archaeal small subunit ribosomal RNA", at positions 719 to 982 of the family's 1478-position model. The record is from RNAcentral.
ACAGUCACACAUUAGAUACCCGCGUAGUCCCAGCCGUAAACGAUGCGCGUUAGGUGUAUCGGUGACCACGAGUCACCGAGGAGCCGAAGGGAAACCGUGAAACGUGCCGCCUGGGAAGUACGGUCGCAAGGCUGAAACUUAAAGGAAUUGGCGGGGAGCACCACAACGGGUGGAGCCUGCGGUUUAAUUGGACUCAACGCCGGGAAGCUCACCGGAUAAGACAGCGGAAUGAUUGCCGGGCUGAAGACUCUGCAUGACUAGCUG